Molecule: long non-coding RNA, 796 nt
Filed under: Bemisia tabaci
Lineage: Eukaryota; Metazoa; Arthropoda; Insecta; Hemiptera; Aleyrodidae
Description: lncRNA ENSASIAIIG002637
Source: RNAcentral
GUUUGAGCUGUCACAAUAUUGGGAUGGGAGAAAAAAUGAAAUCAACCUAUUCCGUCAGCUGCUAUAUAGGUAAAAUUAAAAGGUGUACGAUCCACUCAUGUUGGUUUGACGCCUGAUGAGGGUGUUAAUAUCGCGGGUGGUUUCAGCGUGGUGAACCUGGUCCUGAUUUUACAGGUCACUGAAAUUUCCGGCAACAUUAAUGGGUCCGAAAGAGGUUCAUUCUCGAGAGAUGCAAAACUUCUAGAUUUGGAUUCUGUGGCUCAAAAAGUUUCGCAUGUUAUUUGGAAGGAUGCUGCGGCCUGCCCUAUUUCAGCGGCUUUCGCUCAAAUCAGCCGUCUAAAUAACAGAGAAUCAGUUGAAAAUGCCUUGAAGAAAGCUCUGAGUACUGACCCAUCCCUCAUAGUCAAAAGUAAAGCAGACGGUGUGAGAGAUGUGAUUUGUGAGGCUGCCAAAAAGUUCUCGGAGCAGGUUGAGUCCCUUAAGAAGAGUAUCGAGGUAACGAACGGUGACCCGUGGAACAACGACGAAAAUUUUGAGGACGCUCUGAAAAAUCUGAAGAAAGACAAGUCUCAGGUGGAUUUCAGAAAAGUCGCCGAGGGCGUGAACACGAGGAACAGUGGCAAUCGUCUAAGUGACUUGAAGCGGACGGCAUACAACAAACUCUCCGCUGUCCGUAAUGCCUUCCGGCGCGAAAUCUACCAAAUCCAGCAUAGCGCUGACUCCGCCGUGAACGUCCUGCGUGAGGGCACCCACGCUUUGCAAACCAUCAAACGCGCGCUGGCUGUCGGUCAGACAC